GACGAACGCUGGCGGCGUGCUUAACACAUGCAAGUCGAACGGAAAGGCCCUGCUUUUGUGGGGUGCUCGAGUGGCGAACGGGUGAGUAACACGUGAGUAACCUGCCCUUGACUUUGGGAUAACUUCAGGAAACUGGGGCUAAUACCGGCUAGGAGCUCCUGCUGCAUGGUGGGGGUUGGAAAGUUUCGGCGGUUGGGGAUGGACUCGCGGCUUAUCAGCUUGUUGGUGGGGUAGUGGCUUACCAAGGCUUUGACGGGUAGCCGGCCUGAGAGGGUGACCGGCCACAUUGGGACUGCGAUACGGCCCAGACUCCAACGGGAGGCAGCAGUGGGGAAUAUUGCACAAUGGGCGGAAGCCUGAUGCGGCAACGCCGCGUGCGGGAUGACGGCCUUCGGGUUGUAAACCGCUUUCGCCUGUGACGAAGCGUUAGUGACGGUAAUGGGUAAAGAAGCACCGGCUAACUACGUG
This 468-nucleotide ribosomal RNA is filed under the name uncultured bacterium. RNAcentral describes it as "partial 16S ribosomal RNA". It matches the Rfam family "Bacterial small subunit ribosomal RNA", at positions 28 to 507 of the family's 1533-position model. The record is from RNAcentral.